RNAcentral lists this long non-coding RNA (604 nucleotides) under Mytilus galloprovincialis (Mediterranean mussel). Lineage: Eukaryota; Metazoa; Mollusca; Bivalvia; Mytilida; Mytilidae. The record is from RNAcentral.
AUUUAAUUUUUUAUUUUGUGUUUUUGACUAUAUAUAAACAUGAUACGAUGAGGUUAAUUAUGACUACAUCUGUCAUAAAGUGUUUGUGUAUUGACUAUUAUAAUGCACAUGCCUUUGUGAAUACUUUAUAUCAACAAGUGCGUAUUCAACUGUAUAUAUGAGCAAGUGCAUUUGAGAUGACUAUACAUUAACAAGUGCGUAUGUAACGCAACAAUAUCAGGAAUUGCAGUUGUAAUGAUUAUAUAUGAACAAGCGCGUUUGUGAUGACUUUAUAUAAAAAUGAAAGUGCUCUUGUAUUGACUAUACGUAUACAAGUGCGUUUGUGGUGACUGUAUAUGAUCAAGAACAGUUGAAAUGACUAUAUAUGAACAUGCGCAUUUGUAACGACUGUCUAUAAAAACUGAAGAGCUCUUGUAUUGAGUAUAUGUAAACGAGUGCGUUUGUAAUGACUAUAUAUGAAUAAUUGCGUUUGCGACAACAAUACAUGAACAAGAGCGUUUGAAAUGACUAUAUAUGAACAAUUUCGUUUGUCAUUGCUUUGUGUAUAAACUAUUAUUCGUGUUCUGACUAUAUAUAAUAAAGUGUACUUUUCGAUACAUCAAUA